GACGAACGCUGGCGGCGUGCUUAACACAUGCAAGUCGAGCGGAAAGGCCACUUCGGUGGUACUCGAGCGGCGAACGGGUGAGUAACACGUGAGUAAUCUGCCCCUGGCUUUGGGAUAGCCACCGGAAACGGUGAUUAAUACCGGAUACGACCACUUCUCGCAUGGGAUGGUGGUGGAAAGUUUUUUCGGCCAGGGAUGUGCUCGCGGCCUAUCAGCUUGAUGGUGAGGGAAUGGCUCACCAUGGCUUCGACGGGUAGCCGGCCUGAGAGGGUGACCGGUCACACUGGGACUGAGACACGGCCCAGACUCCGACGGGAGGCAGCAGUGGGGAAUAUUGGACAAUGGGCGGAAGCCUGAUCCAGCAACGCCGCGUGAGGGAUGACGGCCUUCGGGUUGUAAACCUCUUUCAGCAGGGACGAAGCGCAAGUGACGGUACCUGCAGAAGAAGCACCGGCCAACUACGUGCCAGCCGCCGCGGUAA
This 481-nucleotide ribosomal RNA is filed under the name uncultured bacterium. Its description in RNAcentral is "partial 16S ribosomal RNA". It matches the Rfam family "Bacterial small subunit ribosomal RNA", at positions 28 to 523 of the family's 1533-position model. The record is from RNAcentral.